This is a long non-coding RNA of Vitis vinifera (wine grape), 2332 nucleotides long. RefSeq lists it as uncharacterized. The transcript has 3 exons. Lineage: Eukaryota; Viridiplantae; Streptophyta; Magnoliopsida; Vitales; Vitaceae. The record is from RefSeq and is a predicted model, not a curated record.
UGUCUUUUUAAAUGUAAAAGUUCUCUUUGCCAGUUGGGUUAGGGUUGGAGUCCGAGCAGAAACGACUUCGUCACCACGCCUGGUAGCGUUAGCCUAGCCCUAGCCCUAGCCCUAAUCCUAACCCUAAUUUCUGUUUCUUCUUCUCUCUAUAGAAUGGUGGAUAUGCAAUUUGGGGUUGUGGAUUGUUGGAUGAUCAAUAGAGGGAGGGGUUGGAAGAGAGAAGAUGAAGGCGACUGUGAGUUCCUGAAUUUGGAAUUCUCAGCAUGUGGAUUGGGGUUCCGCUUUGUUCUUGUUCUAGAAUUGAGCUGAUUUCAGCGCUUCAUGCAAUUGGAUUUGGUUUUGAGACGCUGAGUGGAAGGGUGACUAUGGCGGACUGUAUUUUGUUUGCAAGAACAGAUAUCAGUGGCUGCGGAGGAAUGGUUAUGCUGUUACAGAUACAUGAAAUGCAAAAGAAUUAUCUCUGGAAUCAGGGAGGUGGUUUUUCUUUCUGAACUUUUUGAGACAGCAUCUCUACUUUUGUUGUUUCUGUAAUGUUACAUUUUUUACUUUAAAGGUUUAUCCUUUCUUUCUCUUCUAAAUUGACUCGGUUCCAUAUGUGGCCAAAGGUGUUGAGGCCACCUGACUGCCUUUACACCUUCGCGUCAUAUGUAGCCCAAGGUGUCAAAACCACCCCUCUGUCUUUACACCGUAACUUCCAUGGGGCCGUACAAUAUUCUGGUUCAUUCUUUUACAUUGAAAAGACACAGGAAAUAAGAUAUCAUGUUUGAUCUGAUGAACACUCUGUAGAUUGGGUGGGCUCUGUAUGAGUGAGGGAGCACCUUUUUUUAUUUCCCCUUUGUCAGGCUAUACCUUUUGUUUAUCCCUUUGUAUACAGCCUGUGUACCUUGCUGUAUAGCUCCUUUCACUAAUAUACAGAUAUCUUAUCUUUGUUUAUCAAAAUUCUGAUGGAAACUCUGCAUUUGUUAUUAUUCCUUCCCUGUUCUUUUCUUUGAAAAAUGAUUGGCUAGCAAGAUCAUAAGUUUCUUAUUCUGAAAGAUGUGGUGAUUUAUAUUUUCAUCCCAAGUGUUAUGAUUUUCAAUCUCCAAUUUCACAUAAGCUUGUUACCCCAAAACUUGCAGCUUCAUAGUCUUUUUCAUUUGUUUUCGUCUCGCAGCAUUUUUUAGCUUCAUCUACUCUCAAAUGUGUGUAAACCUUUAUUUUUUGCAUCUGAUUGUUAUUUAUUUUUGUUUUUCCCUGACAAAUAUUUUGAUCAAAUGUAAAUUCUGUAAGCAACACAUACAAUCAAAUCUCUGCUCUGGUAGUGGGAUCAGGUGUUAAUUUUUUGUCUGAAGCUUUUUGUUUUCUUGUUAAUUAAUUGAGACAAUUCUUGAUUCAAUUUUGAUGGAUAGCCAACCACAAAGGCAACUCCUAAAUCCUGUUGAGAAGUUUGCCAUCAGUUCACAAGAGUCAACAUGGAAGCAUAGUCCAUGAAGUGGAGCAGUUUGAGCAUGCUGAUAAACUAACCUCAUGGCUUUUUUGGAAAGUAAAGACAUAUUACUCGAUUUCUUGAAAAUAUAAGGUGCUCUUCCUUUUCACAUGAAAAACUUAGUGUGCUCAUGAAGUAACAUGCUCUUCUUUAUCUUGGGUUUCAAUGGCACGCCAAGUCUACCCAGGUAGUACUGUAAAAUAUAAUAAACCAUCAGAUAUUGGGAUGGAAAGAGACAACAGAAGCCUGACAAAAGAUCUGCGGUUCUUAUUUCUUGGUGGUUUUGGGGGAGAAAGUAUGAGCCUAUAUGCUUCCAUCUCUUUGAGGUUAUUACCAAUGAACUUGAGAAGCCUUCUCAUCAUAUGGGGAUAAUGAAGCAAAAGGGCAUGGAUGUUUAUGUGAAGUAAGUUAUUGAUUGGUUGGAGGAUGUGGAGCGACUUAUGUUAAUGACAUGCAGAAAACACUUUUGAUGUUGACAUUCUCAACAUUGUUAUAGGAAAGUUUUUACUUCAUCUGCUUUCAAGGAUAUGUUUAUGGAAGCAAAACUCACGAGGAAAAGGGUGUUACUCUUUAAACAUAUAUGUGUAAAUUCCAUGUAAGUUCUUUUGUAUCUCUCCAAUCAGCAAGAUGUUUCUUAGUUCUAACUAGCGGUGAAUGAAGAGGAUGGCCAACCCCAACGCAAUUUGGAUCUUUCAUCUUUGUUGUAGGGUGGGCCUAUCCCAUAAACAUAACCCCAUGUUGGUUCUGUUUAAAUUUCCUCUAAAGAAGAGGGGAUUGAAAAAAAAAUGCUUGGUUUGAUUGCUUUAGUAGUAUUUCUUUGUCAGGGACAUUUGAUUUAAAUAAAAUUCCAUCUUAUGGUUAGUUCAA